UGGGGAAUAUUGCACAAUGGGCGCAAGCCUGAUGCAGCCAUGCCGCGUGUAUGAAGAAGGCCUUCGGGUUGUAAAGUACUUUCAGCGGGGAGGAAGGCGAUAAGGUUAAUACCCUUGUCGAUUGACGUUACCCGCAGAAGAAGCACCGGCUAACUCCGUGCCAGCAGCCGCGGUAAUACGGAGGGUGCAAGCGUUAAUCGGAAUUACUGGGCGUAAAGCGCACGCAGGCGGUCUGUCAAGUCGGAUGUGAAAUCCCCGGGCUCAACCUGGGAACUGCAUUCGAAACUGGCAGGCUAGAGUCUUGUAGAGGGGGGUAGAAUUCCAGGUGUAGCGGUGAAAUGCGUAGAGAUCUGGAGGAAUACCGGUGGCGAAGGCGGCCCCCUGGACAAAGACUGACGCUCAGGUGCGAAAGCGUGGGGAGCAAACA
This 427-nucleotide ribosomal RNA is filed under the name uncultured bacterium. Its description in RNAcentral is "partial 16S ribosomal RNA". It matches the Rfam family "Bacterial small subunit ribosomal RNA", at positions 355 to 774 of the family's 1533-position model. The record is from RNAcentral.